RNAcentral lists this long non-coding RNA (2572 nucleotides) under Pongo abelii (Sumatran orangutan). RNAcentral describes it as "lincRNA". The record is from RNAcentral. Lineage: Eukaryota; Metazoa; Chordata; Mammalia; Primates; Hominidae.
GGCGUUGGCCCCCGCGCCCCGUGCAAGUGCGCCGUUCUCGGGUGCCCUAGGUCGCGGGGCAGCUGGGGCGGAAGGGCUUGUUCAUUAUUUUGAGAGUUUGUUGUGAACGUCAUAACCCUUCGUCCUUAAAUAUUGCCGAUACUUGACCUACGCAAGAGACAAUGUCAUGUGAUUCAGCCUAAUAUCUCAGAGGAUGCAGCAUUCAAGGUUCUAUCUUGGAAGCAGAGACUGGGCCCUCACCAGAUGCUGAACCUGCUGAGCACCUUGAUCUUCCACUUCACCUUCAUCAGAACUGUUUUUGUAUCAGGAUGAUGCUGGCCUCAUAAAAUGAGUUAGGGACACACGAAAUCCUUCAUAUAAUCUGGCAAACACAUGUGGCAGGUUUUUCUCACCACAUAAAAUAUGUUAUAGAGUAGUCCAUCUAUUUCUCUCCCAUGGAAGAGUUUAUCUGGUAGAUUGGACUACCACUUUUCCUUGUGGAGACCUAUUCUGUUGGGUUAGAGAUGACAGAAAAUCUUAUUUGUCGGUUGGUUUGUUUGUUCAAGAAUACACUGACCUUCUACAAGAAAGGAGAGCUCUUUGACACCUGGAAAUUUUGCAAAAGCUUGGGACAGCUCUGAACGGCAACACGGUCCUGAGAUGUGUGAUUACCUGGGACUUUCAUUGGACCUGCAUUUCAGCUCUACUCUCCUCACUGCCCUAUUCUGCUUUGGCCCUAAAAGUGAAGCCAGCUCGGCCAGGUGCAGCGGCUCACACCUAUAAUCCCAGCACUUUGGGAGGUCGAGGGGGGCAGAUCAAGAAGUCAGGAAAUCGAGACCACCCUGGCCAACAUUGUGAAACACUGUCUCUACUAAAAUACAAAAAAAUUAGCCAGGUGUGGUGGUGUGCACCUGUAGUCCCAGCUACUCGGGAGGCUGAGGCAGGCGAAUCACUUGAACUCAGGAGGAGGAAAUUGCAGUGAGCCAAGAUUGCGCCACUGUACUCCAGCCUGGGCGAUAGAGCGAGACUCCAUCUCAAAAACAAAACAAAACAAAACAAAACAAACAAAACAAAAAGUGAAGCCAACUCAAUUGUCUCAUAGAACUGAUGUUUAUGGUGUUUUUAAAUAAACAUAGAAAUUGGCCCUCCCAGUCUUAAAACUUCAAAAACUUACAUUGGUCUUAUCUAAGUUCCUUUCUCAGGAAUCCAGUCAUCAAGGCUCCCAGAUAGUAUCAAUGAACGGAAACUUACCAGAUCACGACAUCUGGACAAUGAGAUGUCAGAUCCCCCUCAUCCAUCCUGAUUACCUAACUGACUACCUGCUUCCUGUUGGCCAACUACUCUCCUUUACCCCUCCCUAAUUCUUGUUUUCCCACAAAUGGUUACAUUUCUAUCCUGCUAUAGAAGCCCUUAAUUUUAAUUGGUCAAGGAGAUGGAUUUGAGACUGAUUUUUUGCUCUCCUUGGCUGUUGCACCUGAAUAGCCUUUUUCCCUGGCAAUACUUUUUGUCUCAGUGAUUGGUUUUCUGUGCAGUGAGCAAUGGGACCAAACUUCUGGUGUUUUGGUAACAAAUUUUGGUUUCCUGACCGUGAAUGCAUUGCUUGUGACUCAGCUGCCAUGGGCUGGGAGAGUUUCAAAAGCCCCCUAAGUAGCUACCUGACCAUUUUGGCCAGAGGUGGAUUUUAGUCUCUCCCCAUUUGGGCCCACUUCUGCCAACCCCAACCAUGUUCCUGAUUGCCUAGGAAGAACAGCCUUUGAAAUUUGACAUCUAUGUCCAGAAAGGUGAGUGUCUUUUAUGGGUAACAGACAGUGGGAAUGGUUCCUCUCGAUUUGGGAAAUCCCAAAGGCAUAUCAGUUUGCAGGUUAAACAAGUCAAACUGAUGGAGAGAGGAUAAUACUUUGACUGAUUCAGUUUGAACACUCUUGGGGCUUGUUCAUUGCUACAGAAGUUGGAUUGUGUUUUGGUGAUUGUUUGUUUGUGUAUGUCUAUGUAGUUAUGGGAAGUCAGGGUUUGAUCCCAGAGCGCAGCCCACAUGGGUGCAUUCUUUGGGUUAGUCUGUAUGUAGUUGUGGGUUGACAGAGCAGGGGAAAUUCUACAGCCAUACCACUCUGAGUGUGGCUGAUCUUGUCUGAUCGCGAUGUCUUUGCAUUGUAGUGCUGUCUUAGAAUUGAAUUCAUCUUGCUGUUGAAUGGGAGAGCAGGAUAGAGGUCCAUGUAUGUAUGCUUUUAUGCUGCUGUUCUAAACAGGGUUGGGCCUGAUUAGUACUGUGAUGCUCUUCUGUGGUGCUGUUUGGCCCCAGUGUUCUUUGGAAUCUGGGGAAGUUUGGCCUUUAAAAGUUAAACUGCCAUGGGAACCGAUUUACUCAGUUUUAGUUCAUAGCCUUCAUUGUAUUAUCUAUCAGGGCAAAAAAGUUAGCCGUGUGAACAUGUUCGUAAACCAGUGAGUUUGUAUUGCUAUCUCAUGCCUAGAAUUCUAAAGUAAAAACUAUUGGGUCUUUGUUUGUAUAUAUGUAUAUGGGUCUAGAUGUUAUGUGUUGUUUUUACAGGGUACCAGAUUGGCUCAUAAAUAAAAGAGCACUCAUAAAUUAAGUGAA